GAUUUCUGGUUCGGCGCACUUGGCCCGCUCCGGUUACGGAGUUGUGUGCCGGUGUGCGCCAUCCAUCCUUCUAGAGUACGACUCUCCCUUCACUGGGUUGGGCCGGAAUCUAGAUCAUUUACUUUGAAAAAAUUAGAGUGUUUCAAGCAGGCUUUAUGCUAUGAAUACAUUAGCAUGGAAUAAUAAUUUAGGACUUCGGUUCUAUUUUGUUGGUUUCUAGGACUGAAAUAAUGAUUGAUAGGGACAGUUGGGGGUGCUAGUAUUCAGCGGCCAGAGGUGAAAUUCUCGGAUUCGCUGAAGACUAACUUAUGCGAAAGCAUU
Molecule: ribosomal RNA, 321 nt
Filed under: Cercomonas sp.
Lineage: Eukaryota; Cercozoa; Cercomonadida; Cercomonadidae
Description: SSU rRNA
Rfam family: Eukaryotic small subunit ribosomal RNA (bases 103-321)
Source: RNAcentral